GGCCUGUUAGCUCAGUUGGUUAGAGCGCCGUGCUAAUAACGCGAAGGUCAUGAGUUCGAUCCUCUUACGGGCCA
Molecule: transfer RNA, 74 nt
Filed under: Daphnia pulex (common water flea)
Lineage: Eukaryota; Metazoa; Arthropoda; Branchiopoda; Diplostraca; Daphniidae
Rfam family: tRNA
About the family: Transfer RNA (tRNA) molecules are approximately 80 nucleotides in length.
Source: Rfam by way of RNAcentral